Molecule: ribosomal RNA, 824 nt
Filed under: uncultured bacterium
Lineage: Bacteria
Description: bacterial SSU rRNA
Rfam family: Bacterial small subunit ribosomal RNA
Source: RNAcentral
GCUAACGGCGCCGGGUGCGUAACGCGUAUACAAUCUGCCUUUCACAUAGGGAUAGCCCGAAGAAAUUUGGAUUAAUACCUAAUGGUAUAUAAGAGCGGCAUCGUUUUUAUAUUAAAGCUACGGUGGUGAAAGAUGAGUAUGCGUUCUAUUAGCUAGUUGGAGAGGUAACGGCUCCCCAAGGCGACGAUAGAUAGGGGUUCUGAGAGGGAUGUCCCCCACACUGGUACUGAGAUACGGACCAGACUCCUACGGGAGGCAGCAGUGAGGAAUAUUGGACAGUGGUCGGAAGACUGAUCCAGCCAUGCCGCGUGCAGGAUGAAGGUCCUAUGGAUUGUAAACUGCUUUUGUAAGGGAAGAAUAAGGGGUACGUGUACUUUGAUGACGGUACCUUACGAAUAAGCAUCGGCUAACUCCGUGCCAGCAGCCGCGGUAAUACGGAGGAUGCGAGCGUUAUCCGGAAUCAUUGGGUUUAAAGGGUCCGUAGGCGGGCUGAUAAGUCAGAGGUGAAAGCGCUUAGCUCAACUAAGCAACUGCCUUUGAAGCUGUCAGUCUUGAAUGAUUGUGAAGUAGUUGGAAUGUGUAGUGUAGCGGUGAAAUGCUUAGAUAUUACACAGAACACCGAUAGCGAAGGCAUAUUACUAACAAUUUAUUGACGCUGAUGGACGAAAGCGUGGGGAGCGAACAGGAUUAGAUACCCUGGUAGUCCACGCUGUAAACGAUGGAUACUAGCUGUUUGGAGCAAUCUGAGUGGCUAAGCGAAAGUGAUAAGUAUCCCACCUGGGGAGUACGCACGCAAGUGUGAAACUCAAAGGAAUUGACNGGGG